GAGAUUGGAGCAAUCAGCCACAAUUCUUCCACUUUUGCUUCGAUUUUAGUUCCCGAAAUUGAAGUCAUCAGCUAAAAGGAGUUUGUUCGAGCUCUGGGAAUUUGGAUCCACAUUUUGAAGGAUUUGGAAGGAUUUUGAGGGAUCGAGGAGGUAGCUGUGUGAUGGGGGUGGAUUACUACAAUGUGUUGAAGGUGAACAGAAAAGCGAAUGAAGAGGAUCUGAAGAGGUCCUACAAGAGGUUGGCUAUGAAAUGGCAUCCUGAUAAGAAUCCUUUGAACAAGAAAGAGGCGGAGUCUAAGUUCAAGCAGAUAUCUGAGGCAUAUGAUGUUUUGAGCGACGCUAAGAAGCGUCAGAUCUACGAUCUUUACGGCGAGGAGGCUCUCAAAUCUACUGAUUUUGUUCCUCCAGCCAAUUCCAAUCCUUCUUUUUCCUAUGUCCCUCGAGAUGCAGAUGACAUUUUCGCCGAGUUGUUCGGCGGGGCUGGGAGUGCUAAGAGCCGAGGGUUUGGGGGAGAGAGUGUGUUUAGGAAUGGUAAGGCGGAGGCUGGGAAGCAAACGAAUAAGAAAGCAUCGCCAAUUGAGAGCAAGUUAAUGUGUAGCUUGGAAGAGCUUUACAGAGGUUCUAGGAGGAAGAUGAAGAUUUCCCGCAUUGUCCCUGAUGAAUUUGGGAAGCCGAAAACUGUUGAUGAAGUGUUAAAAAUCGAUAUCAAGCCUGGUUGGAAGAAGGGGACAAAAAUCACUUUCCCUGAGAAAGGCAAUCAAGAGCCUGGGGUCGCCCCUGCUGAUCUUAUAUUUAUCAUCGAUGAGAAACCGCAUCCUGUGUUUGAAAGGGAUGGUAAUGAUUUGGUAGUGAAUCAGAAACUAUCUCUACUAGAAGCACUAACCGGAAAGACAUUGAACUUUACAACUUUGGAUGGAAGAAAUCUCACGACCGUUACUGAUAUUGUCAAACCGGGUUACGAGGUAGUGAUCCAGAAUGAAGGAAUGCCCAUCUCUAAAGAACCAAACAAGAAGGGGAAUCUUAGAAUCAAGUUUGACAUAGUUUUCCCAUCAAAGCUUACUUUUGAUCAGAAAUCCGAUCUAAGAAGGGCUUUGGGUGGUUCUGAUUAAGAAGCUGAGUCCAGGAGCGGUCACAACAACGAACCUUCUACACAGGGGAUCGAUAAUACAAGCUCAAAAACAUGUCCUCCCUCCUGGCUCCGACCACUUUAUCGACUACUUUCCCGUUCUUAAGCAGUAUGAAUGUUGGCAUUGCCUCUACGCCAUAUUCCUUAGCGACAUCCUGCGUUGUCAUCCAUUUUUUCAGCAGUCAUGUUUCAACAUACCCACUCAACCAAUAUCAAACACAAAGACAAGACAAGAUUGAAAGCUCGACCAUACCGCCAAUUUAUCGACGUCGAUUUUGAUGAACUCAACAUCCUUGAACCUUGCAGCAAACUCCUUGAUGAUCGGCUCCAUGUGUCGACAAGGUGCACACCAUGCAGCAGUGAAAUCAAUCACCAUCUACAACAAACCAGCAGCACAAACAAAUCACAAAGCAAAAAACAGCUGCUUGUCAACGACAAAUCCGAAGCA
Molecule: RNA transcript, 1574 nt
Organism: Cucurbita maxima (winter squash)
Lineage: Eukaryota; Viridiplantae; Streptophyta; Magnoliopsida; Cucurbitales; Cucurbitaceae
Gene name: dnaJ homolog subfamily B member 1-like
Exons: 3
Source: RefSeq, a predicted model, not a curated record